GGCCCGAUAGCUCAGUGUUCAGAGCGCCCGACAUUAAUUCAAUUUCUGCAAUAGAAAAAGAUGGUCGGGAGGUCGUUGGUUAGAAUCCAACUCGGACCACCA
This 102-nucleotide transfer RNA is filed under the name marine sediment metagenome. RNAcentral's name for it is "tRNA-OTHER". It matches the Rfam family "tRNA". Rfam says of the family: Transfer RNA (tRNA) molecules are approximately 80 nucleotides in length. Their secondary structure includes four short double-helical elements and three loops (D, anti-codon, and T loops). Further hydrogen bonds mediate the characteristic L-shaped molecular structure. tRNAs have two regions of fundamental functional importance: the anti-codon, which is responsible for specific mRNA codon recognition, and the 3' end, to which the tRNAs corresponding amino acid is attached (by aminoacyl-tRNA synthetases). tRNAs cope with the degeneracy of the genetic code in two manners: having more than one tRNA (with a specific anti-codon) for a particular amino acid; and 'wobble' base-pairing, i.e. permitting non-standard base-pairing at the 3rd anti-codon position. The record is from RNAcentral.